CAGGCUUAACACAUGCAAGUCGAGGGGCAGCAUGGUCUUAGCUUGCUAAGGCCGAUGGCGACCGGCGCACGGGUGAGUAACACGUAUCCAACCUGCCGUCUACUCUUGGACAGCCUUCUGAAAGGAAGAUUAAUACAAGAUGGCAUCAUGAGUCCGCAUGUUCACAUGAUUAAAGGUAUUCCGGUAGACGAUGGGGAUGCGUUCCAUUAGAUAGUAGGCGGGGUAACGGCCCACCUAGUCUUCGAUGGAUAGGGGUUCUGAGAGGAAGGUCCCCCACAUUGGAACUGAGACACGGUCCAAACUCCUACGGGAGGCAGCAGUGAGGAAUAUUGGUCAAUGGGCGAGAGCCUGAACCAGCCAAGUAGCGUGAAGGAUGACUGCCCUAUGGGUUGUAAACUUCUUUUAUAAAGGAAUAAAGUCGGGUAUGGAUACCCGUUUGCAUGUACUUUAUGAAUAAGGAUCGGCUAACUCCGUGCCAGCAGCCGCGGUAAUACGGAGGAUCCGAGCGUUAUCCGGAUUUAUUGGGUUUAAAGGGAGCGUAGAUGGAUGUUUAAGUCAGUUGUGAAAGUUGCGGCUCAACCGUAAAAUGCAGUUGAUACUGGAUAUCUUGAGUGCAGUUGAGGCAGGCGGGAUUCGUGGUGUAGCGGUGAAAUGCUUAGAUAUCACGAAGAACUCCGAUUGCGAAGGCAGCCUGCUAAGCUGCAACUGACAUUGAGGCUCGAAAGUGUGGGUAUCAAACAGGAUUAGAUACCCUGGUAGUCCACACGGUAAACGAUGAAUACUCGCUGUUUGCGAUAUACUGCAAGCGGCCAAGCGAAAGCGUUAAGUAUUCCACCUGGGGAGUACGCCGGCAACGGUGAAACUCAAAGGAAUUGACGGGGGCCCGCACAAGCGGAGGAACAUGUGGUUUAAUUCGAUGAUACGCGAGGAACCUUACCCGGGCUUAAAUUGCAGAUGAAUUACGGUGAAAGCCGUAAGCCGCAAGGCAUCUGUGAAGGUGCUGCAUGGUUGUCGUCAGCUCGUGCCGUGAGGUGUCGGCUUAAGUGCCAUAACGAGCGCAACCCUUGUUGUCAGUUACUAACAGGUUCCGCUGAGGACUCUGACAAGACUGCCAUCGUAAGAUGUGAGGAAGGUGGGGAUGACGUCAAAUCAGCACGGCCCUUACGUCCGGGGCUACACACGUGUUACAAUGGGGGGUACAGAGGGCCGCUACCACGCGAGUGGAUGCCAAUCCCCAAAACCUCUCUCAGUUCGGACUGGAGUCUGCAACCCGACUCCACGAAGCUGGAUUCGCUAGUAAUCGCGCAUCAGCCACGGCGCGGUGAAUACGUUCCCGGGCCUUGUACACACCGCCCGUCAAGCCAUGGGAGCCGGGGGUACCUGAAGUGCGUAACCGCGAGGAGCGCCCUAGGGUAAAACUGGUGACUGG
Molecule: ribosomal RNA, 1429 nt
Filed under: uncultured organism
Description: 16S ribosomal RNA
Rfam family: Bacterial small subunit ribosomal RNA
Source: RNAcentral